UUAGAUGAUAACUAUCUCACUCCGGCCAGAGCCACCAACUCGGGCUGAAGCGUAAAAAAACCGACGUGAAGUCGGUUUUUUUA
RNAcentral lists this antisense RNA (83 nucleotides) under Citrobacter youngae. Its description in RNAcentral is "ArsR-gov region gene B". It matches the Rfam family "ArsR-gov region gene B". Rfam says of the family: arsR-gov region gene B is transcribed opposite of dinQ (translates into a toxic single transmembrane peptide) with 30 complimentary nucleotides. Lineage: Bacteria; Pseudomonadati; Pseudomonadota; Gammaproteobacteria; Enterobacterales; Enterobacteriaceae. The record is from RNAcentral.